RNAcentral lists this ribosomal RNA (221 nucleotides) under Shouchella clausii. RNAcentral describes it as "partial 16S ribosomal RNA". It matches the Rfam family "Bacterial small subunit ribosomal RNA", at positions 1 to 218 of the family's 1533-position model. The record is from RNAcentral. Lineage: Bacteria; Bacillati; Bacillota; Bacilli; Caryophanales; Bacillaceae.
UUAACGGAGAGUUUGAUCCUGGCUCAGGACGAACGCUGGCGGCGUGCCUAAUACAUGCAAGUCGAGCGGACAGAAGGGAGCUUGCUCCCGGACGUUAGCGGCGGACGGGUGAGUAACACGUGGGCAACCUGCCCUUUAGACUGGGAUAACUCCGGGAAACCGGAGCUAAUACCGGAUAAUCCCUUUCUCCACCUGGAGAGAGGGUGAAAGAUGGCUUCGGC